CCUUUGUAUGGGCAUCAUCCUUAUAUUGUCUGCAAGGAGCACUCAGGAAAUAGAGAUUAAUUACACAAGAAUAUGUGCAAAUUGUGCAAAACUGCAAGAAAAUGCCUCUAAUUUUGACAAGGAAUGCACCUGCUCUAUUCCCUUUUACCUUUCAGGAAAAAUGAUGGUAGGUGAAAUUCAAGAAACUCAGUUGACUUUACACUGAUCUAUUCCAAUGUAACACUUAGCAGUAAGUUCACGAUUUCCAUGAAAUGCUUUCCAAAACUGAAAAUAUGAAACAUAAAGCAGGAUGGUGGUGGUGAAUCCGAAA
This 310-nucleotide small RNA is filed under the name Pan troglodytes (chimpanzee). RNAcentral's name for it is "processed transcript". The record is from RNAcentral. Lineage: Eukaryota; Metazoa; Chordata; Mammalia; Primates; Hominidae.